Molecule: non-coding RNA, 116 nt
Organism: Trichuris muris
Lineage: Eukaryota; Metazoa; Nematoda; Enoplea; Trichinellida; Trichuridae
Source: Rfam
UUUGCAGCUACGGCGAUAUGACGCCUAAGACAUAUUUGGGCAUGAUCGUGGGCAGCCUUUGCGCCCUGACAGGUGUGCUGACCAUUGCUCUGCCGGUGCCUGUCAUAGUUAGCAAC